Ctenopharyngodon idella (grass carp) is the source of this 2271-nucleotide long non-coding RNA. RefSeq lists it as uncharacterized. NCBI's taxonomy places the organism in Eukaryota, Metazoa, Chordata, Actinopteri, Cypriniformes, Xenocyprididae. The transcript is spliced from 4 exons. The record is from RefSeq and is a predicted model, not a curated record.
CACUGUAAAAAAUCCAACUUGCAAAAUGUUGGCUCGGUUUAAAAUUGUAAGUCAAGUGGACAAAUUUUUGAGCACAGUGUUGAGUUUACUUAUAAAAGCUAUUUAACUGCAUGUUGAAUGCUACUUUGUCCACUGAAUAUAAACAAUUAAGUUGAGAAAACUUAAUAUUUUGAUUUCUAAGUUCGACCGCUUAACUUUUCUGUUAUUGCGCAUGCGCGGUCUGUCGUCCCGGUAACGCGCGGGGUUUCCCCUCUCCAAUCACGCUGAUGAAGGUAAUGGAUUUCAGCGUCUGUUCGAGGUGAGUUUUUAACGUUAUUAUUGAAAUUAAGCUAAAUAAACUGCACACCUAGAUUAUAAAGUGCAAUGAUAUGUUCAUAAAAGAGUAAACUCAUUCUAUAGCACGUGGUUAUAUUUUCAAAAGAGCUCAAUUGUCGAGUUAGCGAUCUUCACAGUUUAGCUGCUAACAUCUGAAGGCUAACGUUAACAAAUAGUGUAUCAAUUAAAAAAAUUAAAUGUAUAGAAGUAGAUUUUGUGUUGUAGACGGUGUUAAUUUUGUUCUUUAAUGUUCGUCAUCUUUGAUUUUACUGUAGGCCUAACGUUACAUGUGCAGUAAAUACGGCCAAGUAAGGAUGUGUUUGGAAUGCAGUGUAAGCUUUGCAAAUUUGCCCACAGUAUACUAGCAGAGAGGUCCUCAAUCACCACUAUCAAGGGUGAUCCUGGAAGCAGCCUUGCUUGUUACUGACUGCAUCUGCACUUUCAAAACCGUAGGUGCCUUAAAAUCUCAUUUGAUAAGAGCACACAAACAGAGUGCUGCAGUUAAAGAGCACUUUAAUUUUUCAUACCUCAGAUAUCCUUGCUCAAAGAAAGGCAACAGCUCUUAAAGGGCUCCCUGUGUUUAUGAGGGAAAAGUCAGAAAACGUCCUGAAGACCUGCCUGGUAAGAAAAUGUGUUGUUAUCAGCAUACACUAUCCAAAACAACUGUUCUAUCAGACAAGAGGCAGGGAAAAGAGUAGAAAGCAGGAGACAAAGUAGAGGACACAGAGCCAGAAGACAGUUACACAAAAAGGAUGAAGAUGGGGAUCUUAAGCAUCAAAGAUGAUGUUUCCAGCAUCCAUUCCAACCCAAAUGUAAGGUGCUUCUGAACUUGAACUAUCCUAAAGAGCUUAAAUAAACUUUUGAAACCACUAAUUAGUUUUUCCUGUUGUUUCAAUAACAGUUGUUCCUUAACAGUACGUCCAAAAAAAAAAAAAAAAAAAGCUUUGAGUUGUAAUGUAAGGCCCAGUGUUGUUUUAGCAGUUGUAAUUCUUGAUUUGUUUUUUUUGUUUGUUUUGUUUUUUGUUUUUUUGUUUUUUGAGUUCAGCCAAAAAUGAAAAUUCUCACCCUCAUGUCUUUCUCAGAGGCUCAGUAAGGCCUCUGUUGCCAGUAAUGUUACUGCACCUCUCAAGAUCCAUAAAGGUACUGAAAACAUAUUUAAAACAAGUCAUGUGACUACAGUGGUUCAACUUUGUUAUAAAGCUUCAAAUACUUUUUGUGCACCAAAAAAAAAAAAUAAAUAAAAAAAAAAAUAACGACUUGUCAACCAUAUGUAGUGAUGGGCGAUAUCAAAACACUUUAUGAAUCGAAUCAGUAGUUCACAUGAUUUCAGCAGUUUAAUAGUUUGAUACUCAAUCCAAAUCACUAAUUCGAAACAAAAGAUUUGUAAAGCUCUGAAGCUUCAUGAAGCAGUGUUUUGAAAUCUUGAGAUGUGCAGUAACAUUGCUGGCAAUGCAGGCCUCACCGAGCCAUCGGAUUUCAUCAAAAAUAUCUUAAUUUGUGUUCCGAAAAUGAACGACAUGAGGGUGAGUAAUAAAUUCCUUUUUUUUUUUUUUUUUUUGGCCUUUACAACUUAAAAGUCUUGUUUAUUGCUCUUUAUAGCACUUUAAGAACAAUUGUUUUGCUCCAGCACUUCAAAAGAAGUGUGUUGUUGUAUUAUGCCAGCACUUUGAAAAGCAUUACGAGAUUAGAGGAUUUUUUUUUUUUUUUGCCUCUAAGUUUUUUGGGUUUUUUUUGUAAUUCAUCUUGAUCUUGUAGAACUUCAUGCUGACAGAAAAUGUGCCGUUUUGCAAGCGUCAAUAAAUAUGUUCUAUAAUGUUGAGUAUUGUGUUGUAUUUGUGUUGUUUUUACUGUAUAGUAUGUACUCCAUGCAUUUGGAUGCCCAGUGGGAGGUCUAUACAAGUUUCUGUGUGGGAUAAUUGGAGAAAGUUGAGUUAACUUUAAAAAAUAAAAAGUUGA